Molecule: long non-coding RNA, 1531 nt
Organism: Alligator mississippiensis (American alligator)
Lineage: Eukaryota; Metazoa; Chordata; Crocodylia; Alligatoridae
Exons: 7
Source: RefSeq, a predicted model, not a curated record
UGUGCAUUUAAUGCUGGUGUGCUUGCUCCGUCUUUCUACGGCUUGCAUCCUUCAUUAAAAAUACCAUUUAUUGAAAAAUCCACUUUUAUAGUACCAUUUGCAGCUAACAGUGCUUUUAGUGUUAGGAUCUGCUCCUGCUGCUGCUGAAAAAAAAAACCAGACAAUAUGAUGCAGAGAUCCAAUACAGAGCAAGAUGUCUUGCUGUAGUCUCUGAAAUGAUUGCUUUUUGUUUUUGUUUUUGAAUGGGUACAGUUGCUGGAGAACUCUGAUUUGUGUAUGUGUCUGAGUAUCACAAUGGGCUGUUUUUCUGCACUGCUCUCAGUACUAUAGCCUGAGAUACUGCAGCUGUUUUUAAGGUCAUUUCCUUUUAUUUUAAAUAAUUGUUCAUUUAACAUAUGUUGUUAAACUCAUUCUUGCGUCAAAAGGAGGCGAUUAUACUUCCUGACCCUGAAAGCAAGUGUCUUGGAUUUUCUUCUGAAAUCCUACAAAAUGACUGAUGAAGCAAAUAUGGAGUCCCAUCAUCUUAGACAGAAAGGAAAUGGAGGGUAAGCAAUUCAGUGACAGUUCAACCUAUGUGAUCCCCAGGUGAUGUUGGAAAUGCAGGAACAGGACUUUGAAAUGCCAUGACUGGAAAAGGCAUGGCUUCAGCGGAAUAACUCAAGACUGACCCUGAAGCAUGACCCUGGGACCUUCAGACAACCCCAUGCUCACCUAGGAUGAAUACCAACUGAGUAAAAGGCCUCUUAUCACCACUUCCAGUGUCACAGCAGCUUGCAUCAAGAUGCAGAGAGAUGAAGAACAGUGACAACACAACUGUUCACCCAUAACCUUGGGACAGCAGGUAAUGCAGAGCUAACAAAUUCAUGCACCAAAGAAUGGCAGGUUUUAUUCCCGAAAGGGAAAUAGCCAAUAAAGCCAAGGAGGAAGAAGGCUACACACACACCACCCAGUCCCCUCCCCGCCAGAUCUUCAGUCACAUUCUGUGUCUUCCAGGCCUGCAGUGAUGUCUGCCAUCUAUCCUCAGUGAGGUGCUGAAAAGUAAAGCUUUCAUAAAGAGCAUGGGGGAGGGAGGCUGCCAUAUCUCAGAAGAAGCCUUGAACAUCCACCAUUUCUUUCACUUGAGCCUCUCUUCACCCUGGCAUGCACUGUGGCUUCCAUCCCUUGAGCUGAGGAAGGCUGGAUGGCAUUCUCUUUGGAGCUCCUCCAUGCGGCUCCUGAUUCAGCCAGAGAGGUGCUUGUUGUUCAGUGAUGUGAUACUCCCUCCCCCAGGGGUUGAAUCACAUUGCCUCGUCAGCACUACCAACUCCUGCCACCCUGAGGAGCAAGAGACCACACUAGGAAUCAAUACUCAGAUUUUCCUCAGAAAUUUCCAAAAUGCAGACAUGUUCUUUUGACUUAUGAAGAUUUCUUCAGUAUGACAAAUAAGAAACCCACAGUGAUCUGUAUAUGUUUUCUUAUAAUCUUCAAAUAACCAUGUAUUUUAUUGUAUUGCCUAAUCUAAUAAACCAUUAUGUUUUGUAUGGAUAUUUUA